UUGUCCCAUCAGGUCCCAGAAAAAGUCUACCCCAAAUCAGCAAAGCCACCCUGAUGAUGGGAAGCUGACGUGAUCAAGUGCCAAUGCCUAGCAAAACAACCCAGCCAUCCUGAUGACUCUUGAGGAGGGAAGUCAGUCCCAAGAAGUGGCAGAAUUAGAUGCCUGAGGAAAAAGAGAAAAGAGCGUUCUCUAAAAGUGGUGCCAUUUCAGAGAGAUACAGAAACAAAGGCAAGACAGGCCCACUUGCUACCAUACUCCAGGCACUCGCACUUCAUCUUCUCCCAGGGAGACUUCAGAAAGGUUUAGAUCAACAUUCGAAUCCAAGAGACUGGCUGGAAUGGAUUGCAAGCAGUAUCUCCCGUCUAAAUUGUGACCGCUACAGGGUUCAGAAAUACUGAGUGAACUGUGGGAUAGAUCCAUAUAAGUCUACGCGUACAAGGAAUGAAGAGGGUUCUUGGAAGGAAAAUCAUUCCAAGAGAAGGAGUUGGACACGAAAAGGUUGACAAAACCUUAGUUACUGAAGUAUUAAACACCUUUAAGAUUGAUGCUGCCCUGAGAGGAUCGUAAGAAGAUUUUCAAACUUCAGGUUAAGAUGACCCCUGCAGGUGGCUGCAGAACCAUGGUGAUGUACACAGUGCCUGGCACACAGUAGGUGCUC
Molecule: non-coding RNA, 658 nt
Organism: Globicephala melas (long-finned pilot whale)
Lineage: Eukaryota; Metazoa; Chordata; Mammalia; Artiodactyla; Delphinidae
Source: RefSeq, a predicted model, not a curated record